GGACUUAACACGGCUGGCCUUUCAGAGCAGAGGGUCUCCCCCACAGCAGGCCCUCACUGAAGAAGUGCUAAUUCGACUUCCUGAGUUCCAGCCUUAGCCUCCUGCGAGGUCAACGGACUCAGGGUGAAGAAGCCCCAGUGGAUACAGAGAGCAUAUUCCUGAUUAGGGAGCUUUACAAGCGGCCUGCAAAAGAAAAGGCAAAACUCCCAGCCUCUGUUUCAGAGAAGACAUCUCCGUCCAUCGUUUGGGGCUGAAUAAGCUACCUUCCUGGAUCACUUUUCUGAACAGCCGUGCCUUGGAAGGGGGCCUGAGCUGGAC
Molecule: long non-coding RNA, 318 nt
Filed under: Equus caballus (horse)
Lineage: Eukaryota; Metazoa; Chordata; Mammalia; Perissodactyla; Equidae
Description: lncRNA (ENSECAG00000059917.1)
Source: RNAcentral